AGAACGAACGCUGGCGGCAUGCCUAACACAUGCAAGUCGAACGAUCACUUCGGUGAUAGUGGCGCACGGGUGCGUAACGCGUGGGAAUCUGCCCUUAGGUACGGAAUAACUCAGGGAAACUUGUGCUAAUACCGUAUGAUGUCGCGAGACCAAAGAUUUAUCGCCUAAGGAUGAGCCCGCGUAGGAUUAGCUAGUUGGUGAGGUAAAGGCUCACCAAGGCUACGAUCCUUAGCUGGUCUGAGAGGAUGAUCAGCCACACUGGGACUGAGACACGGCCCAGACUCCUACGGGAGGCAGCAGUGGGGAAUAUUGGACAAUGGGCGCAAGCCUGAUCCAGCAAUGCCGCGUGAGUGAUGAAGGCCUUAGGGUUGUAAAGCUCUUUUACCCGGGAAGAUAAUGACUGUACCGGGAGAAUAAGCCCGGCUAACUCCGUGCCAGCAGCCGC
Molecule: ribosomal RNA, 445 nt
Filed under: uncultured bacterium
Lineage: Bacteria
Description: SSU rRNA
Rfam family: Bacterial small subunit ribosomal RNA
Source: RNAcentral